Molecule: ribosomal RNA, 461 nt
Filed under: soil bacterium S65M1
Lineage: Bacteria
Description: bacterial SSU rRNA
Rfam family: Bacterial small subunit ribosomal RNA
Source: RNAcentral
AUGCAAGUCGAACGAUGAACCACUUCGGUGGGGAUUAGUGGCGAACGGGUGAGUAACACGUGGGCAAUCUGCCCUUCACUCUGGGACAAGCCCUGGAAACGGGGUCUAAUACCGGAUACGACACUCUCGGGCAUCCGAUGAGUGUGGAAAGCUCCGGCGGUGAAGGAUGAGCCCGCGGCCUAUCAGCUUGUUGGUGAGGUAACGGCUCACCAAGGCGACGACGGGUAGCCGGCCUGAGAGGGCGACCGGCCACACUGGGACUGAGACACGGCCCAGACUCCUACGGGAGGCAGCAGUGGGGAAUAUUGCACAAUGGGCGAAAGCCUGAUGCAGCGACGCCGCGUGAGGGAUGACGGCCUUCGGGUUGUAAACCUCUUUCAGCAGGGAAGAAGCGAAAGUGACGGUACCUGCAGAAGAAGCGCCGGCUAACUACGUGCCAGCAGCCGCGGUAAUACGUAGGG